Molecule: ribosomal RNA, 254 nt
Filed under: uncultured bacterium
Lineage: Bacteria
Description: partial 16S ribosomal RNA
Rfam family: Bacterial small subunit ribosomal RNA
Source: RNAcentral
UACGUAGGGUGCGAGCGUUGUCCGGAAUUACUGGGCGUAAAGAGCUCGUAGGUGGUUUGUUGCGUUGUCCGUGAAAACUCACAACUCAAUUGUGGGCGUGCGGGCGAUACGGGCAGACUGGAGUACUGCAGGGGAGACUGGAAUUCCUGGUGUAGCGGUGGAAUGCGCAGAUAUCAGGAGGAACACCGGUGGCGAAGGCGGGGUCUCUGGGCAUCUCCUGACGCUGAGGCGCGAAAGCGUGGGGAGCAAACGGG